RNAcentral lists this ribosomal RNA (232 nucleotides) under uncultured bacterium. RNAcentral describes it as "partial 16S ribosomal RNA". It matches the Rfam family "Bacterial small subunit ribosomal RNA", at positions 524 to 752 of the family's 1533-position model. The record is from RNAcentral.
UACGUAGGGUGCAAGCGUUGUCCGGAAUUAUUGGGCGUAAAGAGCUCGUAGGCGGUCUGUCGCGUCUGCUGUGAAAACUCAGGGCUUAACCCUGAGCUUGCAGUGGGUACGGGCAGACUAGAGUGCGGUAGGGGAGACUGGAAUUCCUGGUGUAGCGGUGAAAUGCGCAGAUAUCAGGAGGGAACACCGGUGGCCGGAAGGCGGGUCUCUGGGCCGUAACUGACGCUGGAGG